AAGUCGUAACAAGGUUUCCGUAGGUGAACCUGCGGAAGGAUCAUUAAAGAAUGCCCCGUUUUUUGAAAUGGGUUCUGUUCCCAAACCGUGUAUACAUACUUUUGUUGCUUUGGCAGGCCGCCUUCGGGCGUCGGCUCACGCUGACAGCGCCUGCCAGAGGACCCAAACUCGUUUGUUUAGUGAUGUCUGAGUACUAUAUAAUAGUUUAAAACUUUCAACAACGGAUCUCUUGGUUCUGGCAUCGAUGAAGAACGCAGCGAAAUGCGAUAAGUAAUGUGAAUUGCAGAAUUCAGUGAAUCAUCGAAUCUUUGAACGCACAUUGCGCCCCUUGGUAUUCCGAGGGGCAUGCCUGUUCGAGCGUCAUUAUGACCACUCAAGCCUAGCUUGGUAUUGGGGUUCGCGGUCCCGCGGCCCUUAAAAUCAGUGGCGGUGCCAUCUGGCUCUAAGCGUAGUAAUUUAUCUCGCUAUUGGGUCCGGUGGUUGCUUGCCAACAACCCCUAACUUUUAAGGUUGACCUCGGAUCAGGUAGGGAUACCCGCUGAACUUAA
RNAcentral lists this ribosomal RNA (548 nucleotides) under uncultured fungus. Its description in RNAcentral is "eukaryotic LSU rRNA". The stretch from base 210 to 363 matches the Rfam family "5.8S ribosomal RNA". Lineage: Eukaryota; Fungi. The record is from RNAcentral.